CCUUAAGUGUGGAAAACAAUACAGCUCUUAUUUUUAAACAAAUAGAAAUUAAGAAGUUAUAUACUCUUUUAUGAGGGCCCAUGUACUUGAUGAUGCAUACUAAAAAUGGAGGGACUAGUUAUGUGCCCUUUGAAAUGUGAGGAACUUGAUACAAGUCAUACACUUUUAGAAUUUUUGGGACUCAGGAGUCGUAUACUUUCUGAAAAAAAAUAGGGAGUCUUGUUCUUGAAAACUUGAAUCUUAAUGAAAUUUUAUGGACUUGAUAAUUGUUGUGAAAUGUCUAAAUAUUAACUUUACGCUUCAUGUAUUUUAUAACUAUAAGCUACUAAAUGUAACUUAUUGCCCUAUAUAUUGCACAAGACAAUCAAACCGAUUAAAAGAGUCACCAUCUAUAACCCUAAAAAUACUAUGAACGAAAAGCAAUGUAGUUAGUUCUAAAUCCUUAGUUAUAAAGGCGCAAGUGUGAAGCUGGAGGUAGUUCUGUCCAAUUAAAAACUUAACACUGCUCGCGCUGGUCAUCAAGUGUAUUUACAAGCCAAAAAGUUGGGAUUUCUCCGGAUAAAACACAAAAUUUGAGGCUAUCUUCGUUUAGAAAACACAUUUCCAUCACUUGUUACGUUCACUGUCGACACGUGUAAUUGUCGGCCAGGCCAUGCGAAACCCUGCUUGCGUGUUCGCAUAGCCUGUGACAAAUGCAAUGAUUGUUUGGUUUUUUUUUUUUUUUUUUUUUAAAGUCAGCUAAGCUACAAGCUAGCAGCUAGCACCCCAUUGCCGCCGUGCAGUAGACUUGAAGUGUGCGCGGCCGCCAUUAGCCCACGCCGCAGCUACGGGCAGGAUUGCGAAUACACCCUUUUUUUAGUGCACACUUUUCACGUUUUGUUCGCGCUCGGCGGAGAAAACGGAAUAUUCCUCGUCGUCGAACGAACGGCGCCCGUGUUUUUGCUUUGAUGGUGUUUUGUGGUAAAUGUGUGGCGAAGGGGAAAACACUGCGAACGGAAAUUUAGUCCCCCUCAAAAAAAUCAAAGAUGGAGACUGUUUCUUUCUUCCAGACCUUCAAAGACGACAGAAUGGCAACAUGGCGACCUACGGAGAAACACACAUGGCGUCCAUACAGCCAUCAUUCAUGGACUUUAAGAAACGUGGGCAUACCAUUCGAGAAAGUCUGCUCACUUGCUGAAUCGUCUCAAAGCAUCUUGGCAGUAUCAGCGCAAGUAUAUGUGGAAUCCGUCGACGAUUGCGAGAUAGAGAACUUCUCAAGAGGAAAAGAGCCGAAGCGGAGCAGAAGGAAACUUGCCAGUGGGUUUUGGGAUUGGAGAGCCUGGGGAAAAGACAGAAGUACGACCAGAGGAGAAGCACAAAGAGGAGGGGGAGGCCCAGGAAGACGGAUUGCACUGCAGAAAGCUCCCAGGUUGGGGAUUCCCAAGGUCCUGUUGUUUUGGUUCUUCCACAACCAGCGUUAGGAGUGGACUCUCUACCCACUGUGGCCAGCGGCAGUCUGGAAACCGUCUCGACGUGGUCGCCCAACCCCGUCCUUACUCCACUUCCAAACGUAGCGGUCGUUUCACCUCCAGAUCUUGUCCCGCCACCCAUCACAGCUCCUCCAGAUGUCUUUCCCACUGCAGUUCUUCCAGAUCUGGCCCAAGAUCCGGCCACCGUUUCAGCUCAAACGUCAUCUACAGAUCUUGCUCAACCUCCCAGCGCUGUUCUUCCAGAUCGGUCCACCGCUCCAGAUCAGGCUUUAGCUUCAGAUUCAGUUCCUCUCACUCCCGUCCAGGAUCUGUCUACAGCUUCGGCUCAGUCUUCUUCUCUCGAUCCAGAUCUCGUUGCAUCUCUCACCACAGUUCCUCUAGCUUCUGCCCAAGCACCAGUUCAAUAUUCAGCUCCAGAUCUUGUUCCAGCUUCAGAUGUUCUUAUUCCCACUCCAUCUCAAGCCACAGUUGCAGAGGUAGUUGAAGCUCCAACUGGUGCCCCUCAACGGGUGGAGAACCUGUCCACAGAGUCACAAGGCAAGGAGAACCUUGACCUGGUCCUUAUUGAGGCCCUGGGCCCGGACCAGCUGGAAAAUGAUGUACCACCAACUCAGGACGAAAAAGCUGAUGAAGGUGAUUGAAUUUGUGGAUGAGAAUACAGCUAAAGAUAGUUUCCCUCAAUUGCCUGUUUUGUUUUCCAGAUGUGAGCCAAAAGCUGUCAAAUUAUGAGGCAGAAUAAAAUAAGAUAUUCACAAUUCCGACCUUGUCUUUGCUGCCCCAAGACUACCUCCCAGGAAAUUGAUUCUGAUUCCCUUUAACUACUUUUCCGACACUGACUCAUAACAAGAGGCGCAGUCUUGUUUUAUUGUCUUGUUAUUUACUUCAGUAUUAUUUUGGUCCAAAAUGUGGUGGCGGCUGUUGUGCCAGAACAAAAACAAACUAAUCAUUCCCUCUAAUACAAACAAUGUGUUUCUUGUCAUUGUGAAGUAUUCUUUUAAAAAUGUUAUGCUUCUCAAGCAUUGUAAAUGAGGAAUUAUUUUGUUAGCUCUGUAAAAACUAUUUCACCCAAUAAAAUAUAUUGCGCACGUCUGCA
This is an RNA transcript of Syngnathus acus (greater pipefish), 2562 nucleotides long. It is a transcript of the gene named hemogen, with no coding region annotated. NCBI's taxonomy places the organism in Eukaryota, Metazoa, Chordata, Actinopteri, Syngnathiformes, Syngnathidae. The transcript is spliced from 4 exons. The record is from RefSeq and is a predicted model, not a curated record.